RNAcentral lists this ribosomal RNA (260 nucleotides) under uncultured bacterium. Its description in RNAcentral is "partial 16S ribosomal RNA". It matches the Rfam family "Bacterial small subunit ribosomal RNA", at positions 1066 to 1324 of the family's 1533-position model. The record is from RNAcentral.
CGUGAGAUGUUGGGUUAAGUCCCGCAACGAGCGCAACCCUUGUCCUUUGUUGCCAGCGGGUAAAGCCGGGAACUCAAAGGAGACUGCCAGUGACAAACUGGAGGAAGGCAGGGAUGACGUCAAGUCAUCAUGGCCCUUACGGUCAGGGCUACACACGUGCUACAAUGGGGCGUACAGAGGGAAACGAUACCGCGAGGUGGAGUGGAACCCAAAAAGCCGUCCCUAAGUUCGGAUUGGAGUCUGCAACUCGACUCCAUGAA